GUCGCCGUGAGGCGGGGUCUGAAAGAAGCGUGUAGCAAAGCUAUGACCUGACGAACAGAAACCAGAUACGAGGCCUACCCGGCCGGACGAGCGGGCAAAUGAUCGCGAAGUCCAUAACCAUCAAAGACUGGGUCGGUAAAUCUGGCAGGUGUGUAGCGAAGGCGGCUGAGC
This 171-nucleotide non-coding RNA is filed under the name Paraburkholderia sp. RAU2J. The record is from RNAcentral. Lineage: Bacteria; Pseudomonadati; Pseudomonadota; Betaproteobacteria; Burkholderiales; Burkholderiaceae.